AUUUUUACCUUGCAGGGAGAUACCAUGAUCACAAAGGUGGUUUUCCCAGUGCAAGCCUGAUCCAUUGCAUUGGGGAUUUGCUGACCCCUGAAAUUUCCCCACAUGGGGGAAACUGCAUAAUUUGUGUUGGUGGGGUGUUGUGUUUGUGCUUUCCCCUG
This 158-nucleotide small nuclear RNA is filed under the name Dasypus novemcinctus (nine-banded armadillo). RNAcentral describes it as "U1 spliceosomal RNA (ENSDNOG00000035127.1)". It matches the Rfam family "U1 spliceosomal RNA". Rfam says of the family: U1 is a small nuclear RNA (snRNA) component of the spliceosome (involved in pre-mRNA splicing). Its 5' end forms complementary base pairs with the 5' splice junction, thus defining the 5' donor site of an intron. Lineage: Eukaryota; Metazoa; Chordata; Mammalia; Cingulata; Dasypodidae. The record is from RNAcentral.